AUUUCCCAAAUGUGGCCUUGGGUUUUCAGGAGCCCAGUAGUGACUUCUGUGGUCCCUGACUUGCACCCUCACCCUAUUAUUGGAGUUGUGCUUCAUUUCUCUGUGUGGAAAGAGUGAAGUAUUGGGAAAUAUGACCCUGGUCACCAAACCAACUCAGAGACAGCAAGUGCUUUGGCAAAGGAAAGGGCUGGCACAGAGAACAGAAGCCCCCAGCUAUCAAUACAUUACAGCAGGAUGAGAAAGACCCAGGCCUUUGACAUCCCAGGCUUUGACAGGCCCAGGCUUGACAGUGUCUUGGCACAAUGUUGUGGGAAGAAUAAGCACAAUGAAGAGGUGCCUCAGGAAGAGGACACACUCAGCCACCCACCUCAUGGGACUGCUAUGAGAAUGACUGAAAUAAUUAAUUGUGAAGAGCUUUGUGCCCCUGGGAGUAAGAACACUAUGACACAACUGGAGAAACUGGUUAUUUUACCAAGGCUUAGGCUGGAAUGGUGUGCUUUCCUUUAAAGAAUCAAACUUGACUU
RNAcentral lists this long non-coding RNA (524 nucleotides) under Homo sapiens (human). RNAcentral's name for it is "non-protein coding lnc-LEF1-3:17". The record is from RNAcentral. Lineage: Eukaryota; Metazoa; Chordata; Mammalia; Primates; Hominidae.